GUGGGGAAUAUUGCACAAUGGGGGAAACCCUGAUGCAGCGACGCCGCGUGAGCGAAGAAGUAUUUCGGUACGUAAAGCUCUAUCAGUAAGGAAGAAAAUGACGGUACUUGACUAAGAAGCCCCGGCUAACUACGUGCCAGCAGCCGCGGUAAUACGUAGGGGGCAAGCGUUAUCCGGAUUUACUGGGUGUAAAGGGAGCGUAGACGGAAUGGUAAGUCAGAUGUGAAAGCCCGGGGCUCAACCCCGGGACUGCAUUUGAAACUAGCAGACUAGAGUGCAGGAGAGGUAAGUGGAAUUCCUAGUGUAGCGGUGAAAUGCGUAGAUAUUAGGAGGAACACCAGUGGCGAAGGCGGCUUACUGGACUGUAACUGACGUUGAGGCUCGAAAGCGUGGGGAGCAAACAGGAUUAGAAACCCGUGUAGUCC
This 425-nucleotide ribosomal RNA is filed under the name uncultured bacterium. RNAcentral's name for it is "partial 16S ribosomal RNA". It matches the Rfam family "Bacterial small subunit ribosomal RNA", at positions 354 to 796 of the family's 1533-position model. The record is from RNAcentral.